UUUUCCUCUCUUUUAUCUUUACAAAAACAGAUUCCUUCUUUUUCUCUCUCUAUCCUUUCAAGGGAAUUAUGCCAUGUAAUUGUCCUGUAAAUUUCAAAACCCUACUCCAUUGAAGUAAAACAGUAAAAAGCUUCGAAACGCCGUCGUUACCCUAUCAAUGCACCGUUGAGACUCGAGAUGAUGAGAUCACCUCAAGUUCGAAACGGCGUCGUCGAGACUCCGUCGCCGUCGCACUUCCACUCCAGCGUAUCCCUACACAAGCUCCGGCGGUUCAACAUUUUGAUUGUCGUCUUCCGGUUUGCUUCCUUCUGCUUCUCUCUUGCUUCAGCUAUCUUCAUGUUCACUAAUUCUCGCCGCGGCUCCGAUUUGCCUCAGUGGCAUCACUUCGAUGCCUUCAGGUUUGUGGCUGUUGCCGGUGCAAUUGUUGCCUUAUAUUCACUCUUCGAAGUAGGAGCAUCCGUAUGGGAGAUUUCAAGAGGCGCUACUGUUUUCCCUGAAGUCGUUCAAGUUUGGUUCGAUUUCGGCCACGAUCAGGUUUUUGCUUACCUGUUGCUGUCGGCGGGAUCGGCGGCAACGUCACUGGUUCGGACUUUGAAGGAGAUGGACACGUGUACGGUUAACAAUGCAUUCUGCGUUCAAUCGGAUAUCUCAAUAGCCUUUGGAUUCGCCGGAUUCAUGUUCCUGGGCUUUUCUUCACUCUUGUCGGGUUUCCGGGUUGUAAGUUUUAUUAUCAAUGGUUCUCGA
RNAcentral lists this unclassified non-coding RNA (744 nucleotides) under Hevea brasiliensis (rubber tree). The record is from RNAcentral. Lineage: Eukaryota; Viridiplantae; Streptophyta; Magnoliopsida; Malpighiales; Euphorbiaceae.